This 294-nucleotide ribosomal RNA is filed under the name Triticum aestivum (bread wheat). Its description in RNAcentral is "partial small subunit ribosomal RNA". Lineage: Eukaryota; Viridiplantae; Streptophyta; Magnoliopsida; Poales; Poaceae. The record is from RNAcentral.
AUAUACAGUUUCUUACCUGGGUUGGACAAAGUUUACACUAUUGGCUUGGCUGCUAUAUGUUGGGCUAUUUGGUUGGCCAGGAACCGAGCCACUUUUGAGCUCAAAUGGAUUAACUCUCCAUUUGAGAUUGUUUUCACAGCUUGUGCUUUUUUGGUAAACUGGGCAGGUCUCCAGAAAGCAGAGAUGGGAGAGAUGGUGAAGAAAGGAGCGGAGAUGCUGAGAGAGAACACUUCGCAGAUGAUGCUGCUUUGCGGUCCACCAGGUCCAACUAAAGAUGGGCGUGAUGAGAACUAA